Molecule: ribosomal RNA, 561 nt
Filed under: uncultured fungus
Lineage: Eukaryota; Fungi
Description: eukaryotic LSU rRNA
Rfam family: 5.8S ribosomal RNA (bases 183-335)
Source: RNAcentral
CAUUUACCGAGUGAGGGCCCUUUGGGUCCAACCUCCCACCCGUGUUUAUUUUACCUUGUUGCUUCGGCGGGCCCGCCUUUACUGGCCGCCGGGGGGCUCACGCCCCCGGGUCCGCGCCCGCCGAAGACACCCUCGAACUCUGUCUGAAGAUUGAAGUCUGAGUGAAAAUAUAAAUUAUUUAAAACUUUCAACAACGGAUCUCUUGGUUCCGGCAUCGAUGAAGAACGCAGCGAAAUGCGAUACGUAAUGUGAAUUGCAAAUUCAGUGAAUCAUCGAGUCUUUGAACGCACAUUGCGCCCCCUGGUAUUCCGGGGGGCAUGCCUGUCCGAGCGUCAUUGCUGCCCUCAAGCCCGGCUUGUGUGUUGGGCCCCGUCCUCCGAUUCCGGGGGACGGGCCCGAAAGGCAGCGGCGGCACCGCGUCCGGUCCUCGAGCGUAUGGGGCUUUGUCACCCGCUCCGUAGGCCCGGCCGGCGCUUGCCGAUCAACCCAAAUUUUUAUCCAGGUUGACCUCGGAUCAGGUAGGGAUACCCGCUGAACUUAAGCAUAUCAAUAAGCGGAGGA